This 39448-nucleotide long non-coding RNA is filed under the name Physcomitrium patens. RNAcentral describes it as "long non-coding RNA (PPAT_LNC006131)". Lineage: Eukaryota; Viridiplantae; Streptophyta; Bryopsida; Funariales; Funariaceae. The record is from RNAcentral.
UAAAUUUCCCUUCAUCAAUCAUCCAUCCCUUAAAUCUCAUUCAUCUUAUAACAUUCAUUCAUUCAAAGUUUGUUCAUCCAAUUUUUAUCUAAAGAUUCAUUCAUCCAACCAUAAGUCAACUUAUCAUCCAAUUGACAAUUCGUGCAAUUGACCUAAUUCAUCCAAGAUUCAUCCUAAAAAUUAAAGAAAAUCGGAAGUCGCCACCUUCCAAGUCAUGGUAGCGACCCCUUUGCACGAAUUCCACUACAAUGGUUGCAUCACUAACUUGUUUAUAACAAGCUUUGCUAUUUUAGAAAGUAGACUUACAAGCGCUUGUCUUCCAACAAAAUUCAAUGCAAAACAACAAUUAAGCUAAGAGAAAUCUUGCCUCAAAGUUGCCUGACUUUCUCGGCCUAGUUAGAGCACCCCUGGCCACAAAAACCCUUGCCCUUGCUCCAUUCCAGUUGUGCAACGCAUAUGCUUUAGCAUUCCAGAAACUAGAAUUGAAGUUGCAUCACCUCCAACAAUUUUUUCUUGAAAAUCUUGAGUGAAUUCCAAGAUAUGACCUUCCAAAGUAGCUUGAGUUGGCGGAGUGCUACAUCUUCACCAUGGCCGACUCCUCUUCACUCCAACCACCAUAACUUCCUUGGCCUUUACUCAAUCUAAGCGUGCAAAUAGUCCUUGCAAAGCUGACAACAAGAACCAUCCCCCACAAAAGUUUCAGCUCCAAAUUCAAUACUGUCCGCCAACACUCGCCUUCCAAAGUCGGACCUCCAGAUCUGGCCGGCAGCUGACCUCCUUGUCACUAAAACCACCACAACUUUCUUGUUUUCUCUCCAAACAAAGCGUGCCUACUGUCCCGAGGAAGCUAACGACAAGAUCUAACUAUUGGUAAAGUUUGACAUUCUAUUUCCAGAUAACUAAUACACUACAGCUGCGCAAUUGCAGCUCUAUAGAAACAAGGGUACGUGGGGAUGCAAUUUGGCAUGGCUUCGCCCCAAAAAAAAAAAAAAAAAAAGAGAGAGAGAUAGCAAGUGUGGAAGAGACCAAAGGGUGGCGGCCACAUCUCCACCAUCCGAAUCCACCAACCCUAAUCAAGAUCAAGGGCCGACAUUAACCCUAAGUCCUAAAUCCGAUUUUAGUGCUGGACAUGCCCAAAAUCUCCAAUUCGAAGCGUUUUUUGACAAAACUAACUCCACCAAUGUGUUUAAAACAUAUUUAAACAUCAAGUUUGACUAUUCAUACACCCAAAUCUAAGUUCUAGAUCACUAAGAACCAACAAUUUGACAAAUCCAUCACAAUAAAUUUACUUCUAAUUAUUUUCUUCUCCUUUUUCUUCUUCUUCUCCUUGUCCCUCUUCAUCUUCUUCUUUCUUUCUUCUUGGCCUUUUUUUUUUUUUUUUUUUUUUUUUUCUUCUUUUGGCUCUUUUUCUUAUCUUUCUUUCCACUUCCUUCUCCCUUGAUUUUUCUUUCCACUACUAAUCAUCAAUAAGCCACUAACAUUAAUGUCUAUAACUAACUUAUUAUAACAAAAUAUAAUCAAAAACCUCAUUUUUUUAGAUUUUUUUAGUUUAACCAAUAAUGUGAACCAACUUUUGGGCUCACAUAAUUGGCGACCAUCAGGGGACGAAUCCAGCUUGUACUUGCCAAUUUUUGUCUUUUAAAGUAUUUUCACCAUGCCAGUUCAUACUAUCGCCUUGUCAUAAGAUAGAAAGGUGGAGCUCUUGCCCAAAAUUGCGCUCCCUCAUGUCUUAUAUUCUUUAGACCUGCUACCUGAUGUUCGUGUGGGAAACAAUUGACCACUCAAGGUCUCCAAUUGCACGGAGUUGUUUAAAAACACCUCCUUGACAAGAUAAGGAUCCAACCAUACGGCAUCAAACUUUCUUGGAAAGUCGAUCUUCCGAGCAUCUUGUAACAAUACUAGCAUACCAAGUUGCAAGACCCGAGUCUUGUUCCGUUUAUCAAACACGACCUUGCGUCGCCUCUGGAUGGCCUCAAUGUGUUGAGCCCCUCGUCUUCUGCUCUCAUCCAAUGCCUCGAGCUCGUACAAUCUUGUCUUCAAAGAUUGUCUGUCAGUCAAUGUGGAAUCUACUGUAAUCCGAAGGGAUGGAACCUCAAACUCAAUUGGUAAAACUGCUUCCAGUCCAUAGACUAGAGAGAAUGGUAUAGCCUGCGUGAUGACCUUAAAUGUUGUUCUAUAUGCCCAUAAGGCGGCUGGCAGUUUCACAUCCCAAUCACGCUUGGAGUCUCUAACAGUUUUCCUCAAUAUAGUACCAAGUGUUUGGUUGACUCGCUCUGUCUGACCAUUGGUUUGAGGGUGAUAGGAUGUAGUCUUCCGGUGAUCAAUCUGGAAUCACUCAGUCAUAGAUCCAAUCACCUCGUUGAGGAAAUGAGUACCUUGAUCACUCACAAGGAUCUUCGGGACUCCAAAUCUAGUAAUCACAUUCUCAAAGAGAAAGAUUGCAGCAUUCUUGGCAUCAUUUGUCCUCACAGCCUUGGCUUCAGCCCACUUAGUGAGAUAUUCAGUGGCCACUACAAUAUAUGCCAUUCCUCGAGAUGAAUGAGGAUGAAUCUCUCCCACGUAAUCGAUGCCCCACUUCUCGAAUGGCACCAAUGGUAGGGAAAUGUGAAGUGGCAACUGCAUGUGAAGGUCAUUCCUAGCAAAUCUCUGACAUGCAUCACAACGCCUCACAUAGGUAUGAGCGUCCUUGAAGAGUGUUGGCCAGUAAUAACCAGCCCUAAGAAUUUUCUGACCAGUCAAUUGUCCAGAAAAAUGUCCGCCACACGCACUGUUAUGACAAGCUGACAAAAUGGAAGGAACCUCAUCUUCCAUCAUACAACGUCUUAAUACUCCAUCCAAUCCACGUCGAUACAACCGGUUCCCUAACACCACAAAAUGACGACUAUUGACCCGAAUCUUUCUCUUCUCGUCCUUGGAUAAAUCCAUUGGCAAUUGUUGAGUAGUCAAGAACUCAAUAAUCCUAGAAUAUCAUGCUGGUCUAGCUGUCACCAAGAAAAGACUCUCGUCUAUCAAUCUAUCAUCAAUUGGGUGGGUCUCCAUUCUUCCAGGCAAUCUCGACAUGUGAUCUGCUUGUUUGUGUACGGAUCCAGGUUUGUACUCCACAGUGUAAUCAAACUCUUGUAGCAACAAGACCCACCUAGCUAGUCGACCGCUCAACUCAGGUUUGUUAACCAAAUACUUGAUGGCCAUGUGAUCUACAUAAAAAACUACUUUGUUGCUCAAAAGAUAAUGUCUAAACUUUUUAGCUGAGAACACCAUAGCUAGACAUUCCCUCUCAGUGGUGGAAUAAUUUUUCUCUACAAGAUUUAAUUGCCUACUAGCGUAGGCAAUUGGAUGAUCCUUGCCCUUGCUUGGGCCUUCUACAAGUUGGCACAGAAUGUUGCCAACCGCCACCGCACUUGCAUCACAAUAGAUGUGGAAAGGCAAGUCCCACCUCGGGGGCCUCAAUAUUGGAUAAGAAGACAAUUCCUUCUUUAGAACCUCGAAAGCAUCAUUACAAGCCUGAGUCCAUAUAAAUUUGGUGCCUUUCUUCUGAAGGCUAGUGAUGGGAAGGGUAAUAGUGGCAUAAUCUUCAAUCAACUCUCUAUACCAACCGGUGUGUCCCAAUACACGUUGCACUUCCUUCACACUGGUAGGAGGUGAUAAAUUCUGAAUUACCUUCACCUUUUCUGGCUCGGGCUCACGACCCCUUUUACUAACCAUAUAUCCCAACAAAAUGCCUCUAAUCAAGGCAAGAUAGGUUUUUUCUGGAUUCAGGGCCAUUCGAGCUUUCUUGCACCUCUCAAUGCUUUCUUUCAUCAAAUGAAUGUGAGAAUCUGUAUCAGAUUGGGUGCUGAAAUCAUCAAUGAAUACGGUCAUUGAUUUGUAUAACAAGUCUGAGAAGAUAGACAUCACCAGACGUUGGAAAGUAGUAGGGGCGUUACAUAAUCCAAAUGGCAUCACAUGCCACACAAACAUCCCCCAAGGUGUUGUAAAUGUAGUCUUGUGUCGAUCUUCAGGUACAAUAGACACUUGGUUGUAUCCAAAAUAUCCAUCCAUAAAUGUGUAUAAAUCGUGACCUGCCACUUCUUCUAAGAUGCUAGUGAUAAAUGGCAAGGAAAAGUGGUCUUUUUGGGUGCAAAAAUUCAACUUCCUAUAAUCCACACAUCCUAAGUUUACCAUUCUUCUUCUUUACAAGCACCAUGGGAGAGACCCAAUCUGUGAUCUCAACAGGUUUAAUAAAAUCUGCUUGGAGUAAUUUCUCCAGUUCUUCUUUUACAAUCAAUUGAAGCUGAGGAUUCAUUCUCCUCUCCUUUUACCUGAUCGACACUGCACCGGUCAUCAAGGGAAUUCGAUGUUCUACAAUCUCAGGAGGAAUCCCCUUUAACUCCUUAUAAGACCAUGCAAAGACCUCCUGAUACUCUCUUACCAACUCACAGUAGGCCUUGAUCUCUUCAUCCUCUAGUUGGCUUCCCAUCUUCAUUUGUCUUGGUUCUUCUCCUUCAAACUCCACUAUCACAAACUUCCAAUCUUCUUUAGCAACGUGAAAUUGUUCAUUGUUAUCUCGAUACCAAUCCGAAGGCACAUUGGGAUAACUGAAAAUGUCUUCUCUAACCGUAAUUCCCGAAGAACCAGUCUUAAAUUUCAAUGAUCCUCCCAAAUGCUCACUUUCCUCUAAAACCUCUACUCCUUCAACAUCCUCUAUUCCAAUCAAAUGGACAUCUACCUCAAUUAAAGGUGUCAAACCAUCGUCCAACUCCAUUCCAAUGAAAUUCAAUCCUGCCGUCAAUUCUGAUGAAGAAUCAGGGUUGUCUUGGAGCCACUUGGCAUACUCUCCAUUGUCUGACCAAUGGUAGAGAUUUGGACCAAGACACUUCAAGGUUUGAACCUCAGCUUCAAACGUCAUCCCAUCCACGGAUUUUAAUGGUGUGCCUUCUCCAAUAGAUAUGGUGUCAACCACCUCGAGUCCUAUCAAAGGCUUGAUUCUAACUUUAGUGGGGUUUUCAUAUGGACCGUAAACUAUGGAGGGCUUAUCACCACCCCACAUGAUGGUGGCAUUGGCCAUCCUCAACCACGGACGACCUAAGAGAAGUGGAAAAGAUUCUUUGGAAGUGUGCAUCUUGAUAACAUGGAAGAUCACUAAGUAAUCCUCCCCUCCUGUAGAGAUUUUAUAGUUCGUGAUCUGGCCUAAAGGCCUAGCAUGACUCUGAUCUGCCAUGUUUAAUACAAAUGGUAAAGGUCCGGUUAAAUUCAACCCCAACUUCUCCAUGGUAUGAAGUGGCAUGAUAUUAAGCCCACUACCUCCAUCAAUGAGCACAUUCGGAACCACCUUGUCCAUGAUAGUGACCUCGAUCUCCACUGCCUUCACAUCCACUAGCCUAAUAGAUGCUUGUACCCUAGUCACUGUCCUCUUCUGAGUCUUCUUCUUCCUCUUCGCCCUUGGCAAUCCUUCUUUGAAACUCUUCCUCAUCAAAGGAGAUAUCUCCAAUAGUUGAGCAAUUGAUAUGUCAGCCUUUAUCCUCCGCAAGUCCCUCCAGAGAUCAUACUUCUGGUAAGAGGUUGGCAUUGUACGACCCAACCCUCCAAACUCCUCCUCUGGAAUAUCUGGACCCUCGCAUUCACCUGGUUCUAACCCUUUACCUGGAUCAGAGCGUUCAGAUGACCUUUCAUCACCUACCGCGGCGCCUACCUCCCUUGUAAUUCUUGCCACCUCCUUUGCAGCCACCUCAAGAGCUACUAAAUCCAACAACUCUUCAGACUCACUACUAUCUGAGUCUUCUUCAUCGAUUGGUGAUUGCCUAUGAGCUUGCCCUCGGGUAAUCACAGCCAAAGUAGCAUUCUCAUGGCCACCACCUCCGUUUUUCUUCAAUUCAUUGGUCACUAAAUUAGAAGGUGCUUCAUGUUCUUCAAUCACCACUGUGGUCUUUGCUAGAGAUGGCGCAGGACCCUUUAAUAAGACCUCUUCUGCUACUCUAACAUCUUGGUUAGAAGAUAGACCUUGUUUCUGGUUUGCAUAGUUUCGAUAGCCGCCUUGUUGAUUUUUGGCAACUGGGAUAUAACCUUGGCGGGUUUGUAAUCCUUCCGGAGGUUGAUGGUUUUGUCUGAAAUCCUCAUAGUUGUAGUAGAGAUUAGGAGGUUUUAGGCCCCUCUAAUCAUCACCAUGAGGUCGUCUCUGAUCUCUCAUGUUAUUCCACGCGUUCUCAUAAGGAUUUGUUAUUGGUGGUGGUAGUUGAAUUUCCUUAUCAGGUUGUCUACAUUCAUGGGUAGGGUGAUUGCCACCACAAUCGCCACACGGCCGUGGUUGGUCAUCAUCCCAGCACUGACCCGGCUCAUGCUAUCUCCUGCAAAGCUCAUGGUACUCCUUUCGAGGCUUGCCACUUCUACCAUAUCCUUGAGGACCACAUUGAUAACCUCCUUGCCGCUGCUGAGGUCCUCUAUCUCUUCCAUAGCCCUGUGUUGGCUGGUAUGGUUGAGGAUUUGGAUUACCUUGAGGCCUUACUCGGCACUGAAGAGAUGAAUGCCCAUUUUGGCCACAAGUAGUGCACCAAAUCCCCGAGUUAUGGUUACCAGACUCUAUCCGAGGAGGUGGGGUGUUUGAAUUUUGAUUCUUUAUCAUGAAUGCCAUCUGCUCAGUCAAGGCUUGGAUCUGCUUCAUCAUGGAGUCUUGAAAACCUUCUUGUCCGGCCUGUAUUUUCUUCUCCAAGUCCUCCACUCUCCUCUCCAAUUGUGGCUCUAAUAAUGCCAAUAAGGGUACCGGAGCUCUAGUGGCCGUGGGCAUGAUAUUGUAAUAUUGGGCACUAUUGUCGACUAUCGGAGGUGUACUUGACGUGCUUGGUCCUACCGCUGUUGUGUUAUAACACGAGUAUACAGAGAAAAUAAAAAGAAAGGGGAAUUUUAUUAAUAUUCAGUUACCUCGAAUAUUGGGAGCAUCGACCAACUCCUGUACAAAUACUGAGUGGCCAGGUUCAGUCACCCCGUUACAGUCAUUCGGGGCAUACUGAAAUGCUCCAUUCAAUUCCAAUAACGGGAGUCAGCAGGAAGAGAAGGACCAAUUCACACGACGGGUUCGAAGAGCCAAUUGGAUCCAAUUUCGAGAAUCCAAUCCAGGUCUUCUUACCCAAUAUGAGACCUGAAUUGGCCGGGCAACCCAAUGCAGACCCAAUUACGGGAACAUCUAGGUUAUUACGGACAUCUUACCCAAUAUGGGACCUGAAUUGGUCGGGCGACUCAAUGUGGUCCCGAUUACGGGGUUUCGAUUCUGUUUCGGGCUGUCUUGUUCUCUGUGCCAUUUCAGGGAACGUUGUUUUCGGUAAAUGGAUUUCUUAAAGGUAAAAACGGAGGAGAAAGCUCUGACGGCGAGAGCCAAUUUUAGAUCCAAGCUUGACGGUGGGAGCCAAUUCCGGAUCUAAGACGGAAGAUUGAAGAAAUUCAGUGGAUAAGGUUAGGGGGGAUAUAGUUUUGAAGGGGGUUUUUUUUUUUUUUUUUUUUUUCUCUGAGAAUCGGGGGGAGCUAGUUUGCAAGCUUUUGCAAGGUUACUAGUUCGGUUUUCAUUGGAGGUUUUUGAAGAUCAAGGGGAUUAGAGAGAGGGGGCUUCAUGCUUCGGGUUGGGGAAGGAAAGACAUAGAAUUUGGAUUUUUCUUCUUCGUAGAGUUUUGGGAAGACUGAGGCAAUCGCUGCUGAAGUCAGUAUUGUAAUGGUGAAUCGAGACUUUUAAUGAAGUGGGUUUGGAUACUCUUGACUGUUUUGUAAAAUCGAGUUACGUCUGUGAUUGAAGGAUUAAAAGGUGUCUAUAGGAUUGAGUAUGUGGAGUGAAUGAAAUUUAUUGGGUUAAUCUAACAAGACAGUCAGUGGAUAUAAGAUCGUAAGUACAAAGCGGUAUUGAAGAUUAACAGUUUGGAUUGUUCGGGGUUCUCUGUAACAUCUAGAGACCAAACAAAGUUGACAUUAGAGCUAAACAAAGUUGAUCUAUUUCUUCAAGCUGACAAAGGUAGAAAAAUUGACAUUGGAGCCAAACAAAGUUGAUCUAUUUCUUCAAGCUGCUGAUGGAGAAUUACAAGAGAAAUUAGAAUCCUUUCUUGAAGACAAAGAAGAAGAUGAAGGAUUGACAAAAAAGUGGAAGAACGUUGAAGAUGCGGUGGGAUUGCUUACAAAAAAAGAAAGGAGGAAGGAUAGGAGCAAUAUUCCAAAAACAGUACAACCACCCAAAGCUCCAGUACGUACAACACCACCAACAAUGCCUACAGUUCAACCUUCGACAUCCUUAUCAAAGAAAGCAGAUAUAGAUAUGGAAGAAAUUAUACGAGGAAUGCGAGAUCUUCAAAUCAAAUUGGCAAGACUUGAAGAGAAUACUUCUAUAAACAAUUCGAAGAAUGUUUCAAAAUAAGGAUAUGUACAAAGAUGCAUUUGGUGUGAUGAUGCUUCACACACUAGAAAAGAUUGCAAUGAAUUUAAUAAUAUGAUACGGCAGGGAAUUAUUUGCUGGAAAGAUGGGAAGAUAGCAUUGAAAAAUAGAGAGGAUCUUCUUCAAACCAAUUUUGACAAGGGAAGAAUGAGAGCAUUGGUUCAAGAUUACUUAAAAGAGCAUGAAACAGUAGCACAAGAAAGUGCAAGUUAUGGUGCUAGAGUAGAUGAUGAAAUUGGUGGAAGUACGGAAACUAGUGAGUUUUGGGCUUCUGCCGUUUCUACAAUGCAAGAAGGGAAAUUACCUCGAGAAGCAUUAUUGAGGCCUGCAGCUACAAUACGAGGUAGAACAGGUUGGAAGGAUCCUGUUGAGUCUCUUUCAGUUCAUGCAUAUAUUGCUAAGAGCCAACAUAAAGCUUUCAUGGAAGAAAAAAGACGAGGAAAUUUUGAUGAUACAAGAGAAGGAAAUUCUUUUAAGAGGCAAACUCGAGGAGACAAGGCUCGGGAGGCAGCUUCACAAGAAGUGCCUAUAAAGGAUACCUCAGUAUCAUUGGGAGAAAAAACAACGGAGACAAAAGAUAAGGGCAAAUCAAUUGCUUAUAAGCUACUUUCUGACAUUGAAGCGGCAACAAAUUUGAAAGGGGUGUUGGAAGAACGUAUAUUAAAUGCUAAGGUGGAAUUCACAUUGAAAGAAGUCUUGAGAAUUGCAAAGAAGGAGUUUCAUGAUGUUAUCAUUGACAGCAUUAAGCGAAAGAGGCAAUUAAUGGGCAAAACUGGAAUGAGUCUUGCUAUUGAUGCAAGAAUGUGUAGAGAUGAAGAAGAGGUUGAUAUUGGUUACAAGCAACCAACAAAUGAAAAGAAUGGGUAUAAUCAGCGAGUACGUUUCGAAGAUUCUAGUGACAAGGAAAUAGAAACUUUGAGCCAUUAUACUCGAAACCAUUGGGCAAGGGCAACUACUGAGGUAUUAGUGAAGGUAGGAGAUAUAGAUGAACCAAUAGUUGCUUUGGUCGACCAUGGUUCUCAAAUAAAUCUCAUGUCUAAAGAUCUUUAUAAGAAGCAAAAAUGGCCAAUUGAUAUGGAACAUGGAUGGACAAUACGAGCAGCUAAUAACACACGGGGCGAAUUAUAUGGAGCUUGUCCAGAUGUCAAAAUUCGGAUUGGAGAUGUUGCGACGUCGCAACAUUUCUUCGUUCAAGAUACAACGUCUUAUCCGUUGAUUUUAGGACAACCUUAUAUCACGGCAACACGGAUGGAAAUAAAAGUACUUGAUGAUGGUUUUGUAUCAAGGACAAAGACUCGAUGAGGAAAAAUAUACACCAAAAGGCUAUCUCGAUAUAAUAGGUCAAAAUAUAAACAAGUAGGUAUAUUAAAAGGACACUGGAAUGGCUAUUGCCGCAAGACAAGAAACUAAAGACUCUUGAAUCUGGACUAGAAGCAAGAAAGGAGUUGACAAGAGUGAAGAAGCCUUCACUCUUGUCUCUAUAUAUACUAUCUAACUAGGGGCUACGUGGCGACGUUCUAUAGGACCUCCAAUAUGUGUUGACUUUGUAGGACACAUGCCUUGACUUACAAGGCAAGUUUUUCUACGUGUGGGCCACAUAGUUAGCUUGAUCUUCAAGCUAACAACAUGUGUGGCACAUGGCCAACUUGUUGACCACGUUUCUAAUCCAAAAAGUCAAUUAAAGACACCUAUGAAGUCAAAGCAGCGUCUAGGAAGUUUCUAGGAAGCUUCUAUAUUAAAUAUUAUAUAAUUAACUUACUUUUAUCUACUUUUACUUACUUCUACCUAUUUCUAUAUGUAAUUAUUAGCUUACAUGAUUAUGGCCGUGACAUUACCCCCCCUUCUAGAGACGAGUUCCACGAGGAGCGGUCAUCAUAUGUUGAGGAAAUCUAUGAUGCGACGAAUUGUAUUCGCCACAUACUCUGAUCUCUGUUCUCUUCGAAGAUGAUUGAUAGGGCCUCUCAACCAUCGGUAGUGUCCCAUACCAGGGCGGAAAGACCACCCAGUUAUUUGAUCAUUAUUGAGGCCUUCAUAACUUCCUUCGAAUAGAAUAUUCGGAACACCAUCAGGAGUUGUUCCUACCUCUAGCAAAAUCACCAAACAUCGGGAGUACCUUCCCAAAUCAUGAUACCAAACGCGUUGUAUCUCACCAUCUGUUCGAGGAAGAACAUGUCGUUCUUGAAGAUCUUCAUCUCGAUUGCAUCGUCUUGAAGGUUGUGACAAUCGUAAUGUCUCGUCCGGCAGGUCAGCAAACGAAGGUUCUUGAGUUGAAUCUGCUGGUUGUUGGCUCUCCAUCUAAUUAGCGUCACAAAUGCAAAGAAGUUACAAACAAGGAUAGGAAAUUGAAUGUUAUCUUGCGUCAAUCUUGUCUCUUUUAUAAGAGAGAUUUUCAUCUUGGUUUUGAUGGAUGUCGUUGAUGAAAAACUUUGACUUUAGUUGAUGCAUUUGCUAGAUUCCUGGAUGGCUCCCAUGUGCGUUCACUAAUAUCAUAUUCGCGCCAAUGAACAAGAUAUUCCAGCUUAUUUCGGCGCCGCCUUGAGUCUAAUAUCUCUUCCACCUCAAAUUCUUCAUUAUUAUCUACUUCUAUAGGAGGCGGUGGCAUUUGUCUUCUUCCUUGUAUAUCCACUGUCUUAUAUGGUUCAAGAAGAGAUACGUGGAAUACAGGAUGGAUCUUCAUUGACUCUGGUAGAUGUAACCGAUAUGCAACUGGAUUGAUCUGUUCAGAAACAGAAAAGGGGCCAAGCCUACGAUAGUCCAACUUGUCACAAGGUCGAGUAGUCUUGAUAUUGCGACGAAGUAGCCAUACCUUAUCACCGACGUUGAUCUGUGGUUACUCCUUACGAUAUAGAUCUGCGUUUAUCUUUUGUCGUUCUUGAGCUUCCUUCAAUUGUGUCUUCAUUAUUGCAUGUAACUCUGACAACCGAUUUGCCAUAUCUUCUGCUGCAGGAUUAUCAACUUUUGAAAAAUCAAAAGUAUCAAGUCGUGGAUGAUAGCCAUAAUUGGCAAAGAAAGGUGUUUGUUGCGUGGAAGAAUGUACCGUAUUAUUAUAAGCAAACUCUGCCAAUGGCAGAAGGGUUGUCCAAUCAUCUUGUUGGUAGUUGAUAGUACACCUUAAAUAUUGCUCCAAGACUUGGUUUACGCGCUCUGUUUGUCCAUCAGUUUGAGGAUGAAAAGCCGAAGAUAGUUUUAUGUCCACUUUUAAAAUCUUGAAAAGGGUCCUCCAAAAUCUUGACACAAAUUGAGUUCCCCUAUCCGAUAUGAUAUCUUUAGGUAAUCCAUGAUAGCGAUAGAUAUUAUCAAUGAAAAGCUUAGCUGUUUCUUCACCUGUGAUAGAUUUUGUACAUGGCACAAAAUGUGCCAUCUUGGUGAAACGAUCUACUAUCACAAAUAUAGAAUCAUAAGAUCUUGAGCUUGGAAGAUCUGUGAUGAAAUCCAUAGAAACAGAAGACCAUGGUUGUUCUGGUAUAGGUAAUGGCUGAAGAAGUCCGUAAGGUCGAUGACGAGGAAUUUUUGAUCUUGAACAAAUAUCACAUGAUUGUACAAAGUCUUUGACUGACUUCCACAUUUGUGGCCACCAAAAAUCUCUUGAUAUGAGUUCCAAAGUCUUAUUAUAUCCAAAGUGCCCUGCUGCUGGAAAGUCAUGACGUGCUUGAAGAACACGUAAACGUGCUUCUCCUUCUGGAACAUAUAGGCGUCCUUCAAAAUAUAAUAGAUUAUUCUUGAACUCAAACUUAGAAGGAUCAUGAGACUUGGAAGAAUUAUUCUCGAUAUCAUAAACAAGAGGGUCUGAGGACAUACUGGAUUGGAUUUGCUUGAGAAAAGUUGAAUCAACAGUCAAUGUUGAUUUCAUUGCUCGGAGAUGAAAUUGCUCCGGUUUCAAGAGGACCGUUCUUUGUUGCUCAAAAGCUGCAUCUCCUUCUUUUGGUGCAAAAUAAGAACGUCUAGAUAGGGCAUCGGAUAAACCUUGUUGUUUUCCUGGCCGAUAAGUGAUAAUGAACUCGAAUCUUGACAAAGACAUACUCCAAUGAGCUUGACGACGAUUCAACACGCGUGCUGACAUGAAAUACUCGAGGUUCUUGUGAUCUGUAUACACAGUGACUCGACUAGAAGCGCCUUCUAGAUAAUGACGCCAUUCUUGAAAAGAAUCCACGAUCGCAAGAAGUUCUUUAUCGUGGAUCUCAUAAUUGAUCUCGGCUGUUGAGAAUUUUCUUGAAUGAAAAGCUAUCGGAUGGAGUUUGUCAUCUGUUCCCAUUUGUGAUAAAACUGCACCCAAGGCAAAAUCUGAUGCAUCUGUUUCCAUAAAAAAUGCCUUGGAAAAGUCAACACGAUAUAAGACUGGUGCAGAGACAAACGAUGUCUUCAAGGCUUCAAAUGCUGCUUCCGCUUCUUGAUUCCAUUGAAAUUUAUCUUUACUAGUCAAGCAUGUAAGUGGAGCUGCAACUCGUGAGAAAUCUUUGAUGAAGAUCCGAUAGUAAUUCGCAAAUCCCAAGAAACAUUGAACAUCUCUUACUGUCCUUGGAAUCUUCCAAUCCACGAUAAUUUGGACUUUCUUAGAAUCCAUCAUGAGACCAUCAUUUGAAAUGAUGUAUCGUAAAAAGUCAACUUGAGUAGUGUGAAAUACACACUUUUCCAUCUUGGCGUACAAUCCUGCAUCUCUAAGUUUUUGUAAUACUUGACGAACAUGUAUUUCAUGUUCUUCGACGUUCUUGGAAUAGAUCAGGAUAUCGUCUAGAUAGCAGACGACAAAAUUGUCUAAGAAUUCACGAAAUACAUCAUUCAUGAGAUGUUGAAAAGCAGCAGGUGCAUUCGUGAGUCCAAAAGGCAUGACAUUAUAUUCAAAAUGCCCGUACCUGGUUCGAAACGCAGUUUUCCAUUCAUCUCCUUCUUUGAUCCGUACUAGAUUAUAUGCUCCUCUUAGAUCUAUUUUUGUAUAGAUCUUAGCUUGAUUUAACUGGUCAAGGAGUCCUGAUAUCAAAGGUAAUGGAUACCUGUUCUUGAUUGUGAUCUUGUUGAGUCCUCGAUAAUCAACACACAUUCGUAAAGAUCCAUCUUUUUUCUUUACGAAUAGAAUUGGAGCUCCUGCUGGAGAUUUUGAAUGGCGUAUGAAAUUCUUCGCUAAAUUCUCGUCAAUAUAUGUCUUGAGUUCAGCCAUCUCAUCUUGCGAUAAACUGUAAAUUGGUCCAAAUGGUGGCUGAGUUCCUUCCCUGAGGUCGAUUGAACAAUCAUAUGGACGAUGCUCAGGAAGAAUAUCUGCAUUCUUUUUCUCAAAAACGUCUUGAUACUCCUGAUAUUGACUUGGAAUGCCACUUGAAGUCUUUACGUUUUCAGAAAUAGGUGCAGCAUAAAUAGCAAAAGUUGAUCCUUCUUUUGCUGCGUGUAUAAAUGCUUUUGCACCUAUCAGUACGGGUUUUACUGUACUAGACUUAUAAUUUUUUACUUGGUUCGUAGAACUAUUAAUAACGCUUUUGGAAAAAUCAAGUUUACGCGAAUUCCAAUCUAUUUGAGGGUUAUAUUUUUCUAGCCAGGAUAAACCUAAAAUAACUGGAUUGGACGGGGAUUUAAUUAUGUUAAAAGCUAUGUAGCUAUCAUGACCGUCUAUUGUUACUUUUAUAGGAUGAGUUUCAUGAGUGACAUCUCCAGAAGACAAGGGACGACCAUCUAUGACUUCUACAUGUACUGGUUUAGGUUUCUGUACAUAGGGUAUUUUACGACUUUUAACAAAUUGUUCAUCUAAAAAACAUGCUGAGGCUCCCGAAUCUAAUAAAGCAGAGGCUUUGUAAUUCUUAGGUUCUAAAUAUAAGUCUAUUAUAAAACAAGGAGAGGGUUCUGAGGAGAGGAUAGGACCUUCAUUAGGAAUUGUACAAGGUUCCAGCUGCACGGUCCCUAUUGUAGCUGGACGAAUCCGUUUUUCGACAUGUUGUCUUCUUUGACCGUCGUACCCCUCAUUUUAUAGUUGCGUCGUUUCUUUGGACAAUGUUGAGCAGUGUGCUUAGGUUCUCCGCAAUAUAAACAUAAUCCUUCUUGACGACGACGAAUCUUUUCUUGCUGAGUUAGAGGUUUAAAACGUACCGCGUCAAUUUGCAUGUCUUCUACUUCCGAAUGUACGUUUGGCAAAGAUGUUGAUGUUGCCAUUGAGUAAUAACGUUGAGGUUCCCGUGAAUGAUUCUCAGAUCGAAAUUCAAAAAAUCGAUUAUCACAUUUUACCGCAAAAUCGAUUGCUUGACUCAAAGUUUGAGGAUCAGGUAAGUUGAGCAUCAAUUUCUUUACUUCGUAUUGCAAUCCAUAAAGAAAUUCACUGAUGAGUGCAGCAUCAUCCCACUUGAUGUCAAUUGCAAGUUGUCGAAAUUGUGAAGCAUAUACUGUUACUGAGCGAUUUCCUUGUUGCAGAAUUCGGAUCUUAUUUGUUGCAACACGAGUUGCAUCGUGUUCACCAUACAUAGAUCGAAACUCCGCCAAAAAAGCUUCCAAAUUGUCCAAUAUUGGAUUUCGUUGUUCAAGAAAAGACGAAAACCACGAUAAUGCAGAACCAGAAAGUAGAGUGCCAAUAAACCUGACUUGUGAUCCUGGAGUUGGAUAGCUUUGCGGUUGAAGUUCAAUUGCCAAUUGUACUUGAUUGAUGAACCCUCGAAACUUUGAUCUCGUACCAUCAAAUUUCUCAGGUAAGGCAAUUCUUGGUUCUCUAGUGCUUAUAGGGUGUUGUACAAUUGGAGAAGGAACGUGAUUUGUUGUAGAUGUUGAAGCAGCUCCGAUCAUCUCUAUAUCUCCAUUUUCUGCUAUUCUUGUUCUUUCCUGUGUUGGUGAAUUGAGUUGAUGCAUCGCAAGCAUUAACUCCCUCAUUUGCUCUUGCAUUUGUGCCAUUGCACUCUUCAUUUCAACAAGCUCUGCCAUAAUGACACUAAGAAGAAAAAUUUGUUUGAUAUUGCUCAAGACAAAAGAAAAGAAAGACUUGAUAACAAAGAAGAUACUAAGAACAAUAUCAGUUUAGAAGUGGGUAAUCCGCAAACUUCUAAUACGCUUAUGUCUUGUCAAGAGAAAGGGGUAAUCCACUCUUACUCAAGAAGGCUAUCUCGAUAAAAUAAGUCAAAAUAUAAACAAGUAGGUAUAUUAAAAGGACACUGGAAUGGCUAUUGCCGCAAGACAAGAAACUAAAGACUCUUGAACCUGGACUAGAAGCAAGAAAGGAGUUGACAAGAGUGAAGAAGCCUUCACUCUUAUUUCUAUAUAUACUAUCUAACUAGAGGCUACGUGGCGACGUUCUAUAGGACCUCCAAUAUGUGUUGACUUUGUAGGACACAUGCCUUGACUUACAAGGCAAGUUUUUCUACGUGUGGGCCACAUAGUUAGCUUGAUCUUCAAGCUAACAACAUGUGUGGCACAUGGCCAACUUGUUGACCACGUUUCUAAUCCAAAAUGUCAAUUAAAGACACCUAUGAAGUCAAAGCAACGUCUAGGAAGUUUCUAGGAAGCUUCUAUAUUAAAUAUUAUAUAAUUAACUUACUUUUAUCUACUUUUACUUACUUCUACCUAUUUCUAUAUGUAAUUAUUAGCUUACAUAAUUAUGGCCGUGACAUUCUGCUUAUGCAAGGGUAUGGAGCGAAGAUGGGAGGAAAGCUGUACAAUUUCUAACAGUACCUCCUAACCAUGAACGGAAUCGAGAUAGGUUGAGGGAGAAACCAUUGCCAAAGAUUGUUGAAGGAUUUAAGGAUUUUGGGGAGGUACCACUAUAAAGCGAGAUUAUAGAGGUACAAAAGAGGAGGUACUCUCGCGAGAUGAAGGUGCCUUUGAUGCGAGUUUCAUUGGUAUAUUGCAGAAUGGAAAUAUUAUGUAUAAGAAAGUUGAUGAUUUUAAAAGAAAAGAAAGAAAAAGAUUAUAUAAUAUUGAAGGACAAUUACGCAAGAUAGGUACAUUGCAUGAUGAUGAGAGGAUUUUGGGUGUUUAUGAAGAAAAUGGACUGGAAGAUUCAUUGGAAUUGAUUACAUCUAUUGGGUUAGGGGAUAAUGAUAAGAUUGUUGAGAUUCAUUCGAGAGAGGUUUAUACCAUGCUUGAAUCUUUUCAAGCACCAGAAGUCACAGUAGAGACGAGAUAUAAAACGGCAGAUAAGAAGGUAAAGCCUGUUGCCGGACCAUUACCAGAGGAUUCUAAAGAACAAAUGGGAGAAGCAUCAAAAGAAGCAAGUUUAAGAGAUCCAAUGAGUAUUGGACAUCAGUUUACUAAAGAGACUUUUGAAGAAUUGAAGAUUGGUUCUGAUGGUUCUUUAUUGCCGGAAGAAAUUACUUGCUUCAAAAAGAUGUUGGCUAAACAAGGUAGAUUGUUUGCUUUCGAAUCUCAUGAAAUUAAAUGUGUGGAUCCGAAUAUUAUAACACCUAUGGUUAUCUUCACUGUACCGCAUGUACCUUGGAAUCUAAGACCGAUUCCAGUACCGAGGAUAAAUUUAUCUAAAUUGGUGGAACUAUUAAAAGAAAAGAUAAAGAUGAAAAUAUUGGAACCCUCAUUUGUGCCGUAUUCUAGUCGAUGAUUUACGGUACCUAAGAAGAAUGAGUCACUACGGUUUAUUCAAGAUAUGCAACCAGUGAAUGCAGUAACUGUCAUGAAUGCAGGAAUUGGACCUAUUGUGGAUGAAUUUGCUGAGGCGUUUGCUGGAAGGGCGAUCUAUUCAAUGGGUGAUUUGUAUUCAGGUUAUGAUCAAUUUCAACUUGCCGAAGGAAGUAGAGAUAUGACAACGAUGAGGACAUCGCUUGGAUUGGUUAGAAUGUGCACUCUUCCUCAAGGCGCGACCAACUCAGUUGCACAUAUGAUGAAUGGCAUGAAUAAGGUAUUGAGAGAUUUUAAUCCAGAAAAGACUAUGCCUUUUCUGGAUGAUGUUCCUAUAAAAGGGUGCAGAGAAGGAGACAAGGAUGAAACUUUAGAUACGAGGGGGUGUCGCAGAUAUGUUGUUGAUCAUAUACAAGAUUGUGAAAAGAUUUUAACUCGGCUUGAAGAAGUUCAUCUUACAUUAUCGGGUAUGAAGUCCGUAUUUGGAGUACGAGAGGCCGUAAUUGUUGGACAUUUAUGUGGAUCUUACGGAAGAAAACCAGAUCCGACUAAAGUUGAUGCAAUUGGAAGGAUGAAAGAGGAUUGUGAUUCUUUAACAGAAGUUCGUAGGUUUUUGGGUGCAUGUAUAUUUUAUCGAAUCUGGAUCCGUCAUUAUGCUCACAUAGCGAAUCUAUUAUAUGAACUGUUACGCAAGGGUUACCGAUUUAAAUGGGAAGAAAGGCAUAUUCAGGCAAUGCAAAGAUUGAAGAAAUUAUUGAUGUCACCUCCAAUAUUGAGGAAGGUUGAUUAUAAGUGCAAUAGACCAGUGAUUCUUACUGUAGACGCUAGUCCAAUUGCCAUUGGAUGGGCUAUGGGUCAAGAUGAUUCAAAUGGGAAUAGAUUUGCAGUUCGAUUUGGGGCUAAAAGUUUUAAGUAUUCGUCAACGUGCAAAUUCGCAAGUUAAAAGAGAACUUUGGGGAGUCGUUUCGGCUAUGAAAGCUGAAAAGGACUAUUUGAUUGGGGCAGUAGUAGUAAUUGAAACAGAUUGCUUGCCAUUGCUUGGAAUGAUUAUUAACUGUUCAACGCCAGAUAUUGCAAUGUUGAGAUGGAUUGCUUAUAUUAAGUCACUAAAUCUAGAAUUUAAGCAUAUCACUGGGAAGGACAAUUUAGUAGCAGACAUGCUAUCUCGAGCAAGAUACAAGAGGGAGGACGAAAUGGUUGAAGACAUUGAUAACGUUGGAUUGAAAUUCUAUUCAAUAUCAAAUCUCAACAGAGAAGAUAAGCUAUUUCUUGAAGAAUCUUAAGAAGGAGAAUUAUUGGAUAUUGGUCAUUAUUUGAAUACCUUGUCUAAGCAGGGAAAUUGGUCUACAAAAAAAUUCAAACAAAUAAGAAAAAAAGCAUAUGGAUUUUUACUUCGAGAUGGAUUCUUAUCGAAGAGCCGAAGAAAAGAAUUGAGAUGCCACAACGAGUGAUAGGCAAAAGGGAAGAAAAACUAAAAUUAUUAAAGGAGUUUCAUGAUAGUUUAUAGGCAGGGCAUAGAGGAAUCUAGGCUACUUUUGCUAAACUCAAGGAACGAUAUUGGUGGAAAAAUAUGUAUCGAGAUGUGCUCUCAUUUGUAGAGUCAUGUGAAAUCUGUCAAUCGUAUUCUAAUAUCCGACAUCGAGAUGGUCUUCAUCCUACGUAUUCUCUAACUAUUCAUUUUAAAUGGGUUGUUGAUUUGGUUAUUAUGCCGGUUGGGUUAUGGCAGAUGAGAUAUUUGAUUUUAGCUCGUGAAGAUUUAUCAAAUCAAGUAGAAGGAAGAGCAUUGAGGACAAAAUCUACAGAGGGGAUUUGUAGGUUUUUGCUUGAAGAUGUCAUUUUUCGUUACGGGUGCGUAGGAAAAAUCACUGCAGAUCGUGGAGAAUUAAAUGCACAAGAAGCUCAUAAGUUCUUUGGAAGAUGUGGAGUUAAACUAUCACUGACUACUGCUUAUAAUCCGGAAGGGAAUGCAAAAAGCGAACGUGGUCACCUACCGAUUGUGAAAGCAUUGGUUAAAGCUUGUAAUGGGAAAGUUAAAGAGUGGCCACGGCUUUUGUUAUUUGCAUUAUGGGCUGAUCGAACAAUACAUAGCUCGGCGACAGGAUAUAUGCCAGUAGAACUUAUGACAGGUCAAAAAUCAAUUAUGCCGAUUGAAGAAAAGGUACUUACUUGGAGUAUGCUACCAUAGGAAGAUAGAUUGACAAGAGAAGAACUUCUGGCUAUUAGGAUUCCACAAUUGGAGCACAGAACGGAAUAUGUCUAGAUAGCAUUGGAAAGGUUAAAAAGAGCAAGGUUACAAAACAAGGUGCGAUUCGAUAAGCAACAUCGAUUGAGACCAAAAGCAAUCGAGGAAGGUGACUGGGUACUUGUUUAUGACAAUAGUCUGGAUAAUCAACAUAGUACUUUGCGGAAAUUCUCAAAACGUUGGUUUGGACCAUAUGUGGUAACAAUUGUUCAUGAUAAUGCGACUUACUCAUUACGGGAGUUAGAUGGUAUAAAAUUGAAAAUACCAAUUGCAGGGAAGCGAGUAAAAAUAUUUAAACGAAGACACGCAGAGAUGAAUAUACAAGACCUUAAUGAAGGUAUAGAGAUUCCGCAGCAAGAAGAUGAAAGUGAUUUGGAUAAUGAAGGUGACGAAGACGAACUGGACAAAGACGUAGAGGAUAUAUUCUGAAUCAAACAGCAAUUGGGUAAAUUGGUGCAUACCGGAGGAUGCACAGGUUCAGAGGAGGUGGAUGUCAUGUUGUAACACGAGUAUACUAUGAAAAAAUAAAAAAAGGGACUUUUAUUAAUAUUCAAUUACCUCAAAUAUUGGGAGCAACGACCAAUUCAAGUGCAAAUACUGAGUGGCCUGGUUCAGUCACCCGGUUACAGUCAGCCAGGACAUACUAAAAUACUCCAUUCGAUUCCAAUAACGGGAGGCAGUAGGAAGAGAAGGACCAAUUCACACGACGGGUUCAAAGAGCCAAUUGGAUCCAAUUUCGAAAAUCCAAUCCAGUUCCUCUUACCCAAUAUGAGACUUGAAUUGGCCGGGGAAUCCAAUGCAGACCCAAUUACGGGAACAUCCAGGUUAUUACGGGCAUCUUAGCCAAUAUGGGACCUGAAUUGGUCGGGCGACUCAAUGUGGUCCCGAUUACGGGGUUUCGAUGCUGUUUCGGGCUGUCCUGUUCUCUGUGCCAUUUCAGGGAACGUUGUUUUCAGUAAAAGGAUCUCUUAAAGGUAGAAACGGAGGAAAAAAAAGCUCUGACGGUGAGAGCCAAUUUCGGAUCCAAGCUUUGAUGGCGAGAGCCAAUUCCGGAUCCAAGACGAAAGAUUGAAGAAAUUCAGAGGAUAAGGUUAGGAGAGAGAGUUUUUUUUGGCGGGGGGUUUUUUUUUUUUUUUUCUGGGAAUCGGGGGGAGCUAAUUCGCAAGCUUUUGCAAGGUUACUAGUUCGGUUUUCAUUGGAGGUUUUUGAAGAUCAAGGAGAUUAGAGAGAGGGGGCUUCAUGCUUCGGGUCGGGAAAGGAAAGACAUAGAAUUUGGAUUUUUCUUCUUCAUAGAGUUUUGGGAAGACUGAGGCAAUCGCUGCUGAAGUCAGUAUUGUAAUGGUGAAUCAGGAUUUUUAAUGAAAUGGUUUGAAUACUCUUGACUAUUUUGUGAAAUCGAGUUAGGUCUGUGAUUGAAGGAUUAAAAGGGUGUCUAUAGGAUUGAGUAUGCGGAGUGAAUGAAAUUUAUUGGGUUAAUCUAACAAGACAGUCAGUGGAUAGAAGAUCGUAAGUACAAAGUGGUAUUGAAGAUUAACAGUUUGGAUUGUUCGGGGUUCUCUAUAGCGUCUAGAGACCUACCGGCUGGGACAAAAAAGGACUUUGACAAGCAGUCAGAGGGCAUCCAGAUAGAUUUACGGUACAUUGUUGCAGUCGUUUAUAUUCCAGUAGUCAAAACUGAUAGACUACUUGACUAUCGGUGAAUCUCCAUACUACCUUCUACAGCCAAAUGCCUGGUACGUUCUCGAGUAGGAAAGCACGUAAUACGACACUGCUUGGCUUACGGGAUUAAUUGGAAUAAACCUCGGGAUAGACCCAUCUUCCUUCUUCCAAUGCCUUUCAUAACUUCUCUCGAUUAAAUCUAUAACACACGCCGCUGUUUUGGCUUCCUCCAAAGUGGCUGGGUUUUUCUCCAAUACUCCCUUGAUUGUAGAUCGAUUAGCAAAUCCUUCAAUAAAGAAUUACUUUAACGUAUCGCCAUUCAACAAUCCUCCUACAUAACGCAUGCAGACCAAGUCAAACCUCCUGAUGUAGUUAGCCAUUUCCUCGUCUCUUUGCUGUCGUACCGCUCCCAAUGCUCUCAAGGCUGUACUUUGUCCAACCUCCGGCCUAAAGUGGUUUAAGAAGGCUACUUGCAACUGGGACCACGUAGUAAAAUAUCCCUCAUCAUGGUCUCGAUACCAAUUGUAAGCCUCACCAUGUAAGGUUCCGGGGAACCAAAUCAGGUAAUACCCCUCGUUCCCAAUGAGGGAUGUUGUCAAAAUCUCUAUGUACCUCUCCAUGUGUAGGGUUGGAUCCUCGUCCUUGGUGCCAUAGAACUUGAGGAGAUUCCCUGGAACUGUAGCCGCUAAUAGCCCUGCUGGCAUAGCCAUGGACAAACCUCGUGGCCUAACUAAGGGAUCCAAAGCUGGAAGCCGCUCCGUCGCCAUCUCGUGAACAAAUCCUUCGACCGCUGUCGUGUUGUAACACGAGUAUACAGUGAAAAUAAAAAGAAAGGAGAAUUUUAUUAAUAUUCAGUUACCUCGAAUAUUGGGAGCAUCGACCAACUCCAGUACAAAUACUGAGUGCUCAGGUUCAGUCACUCCGUUACAGUCAGCCGCGGCAUACUGAAAUGCUCCAUUCGAUUCCAAUAACGGGAGUCAGCAGGAAGAGAAGGACCAAUUCACACGACGGGUUUGAAGAGCCAAUUGGAUCCAAUUUUGAGAAUCCAAUCCGGGUCCUCUUAUCCAAUAUGAGACCUGAAUUGGCCGGUCAACCCAAUGCAGUCCAAUUACGAGAACAUCCAGGUUACUACGGGCAUCUUUCCCAAUAUAGGACCUGAAUUGGUCGGGCGACUCAAUGUGGUCUAAUUACGGGAAAUCCAGGUCUUACUACGGGUCUUAGCCAAUCUGACGCGAGGACCAAUUUGACCCAAUUACGGGAACAUCUAGGUUACUACGGGCAUCUUUCCCGAUAUAGGACCUGAAUUGGUCGGACGACUCAAUGUGGUCCCGAUUACGGGGUUCGAUUCUGUUUCAGGCUGUCCUGUUCUCUGUGCCGUUUCAGGGAACGUUGUUUUUGGUAAAUGGAUUUCUUAAAGGUAAAAAUGGAGGAGAAAGCUUGACGGCGAGAGCCAAUUUCGGAUCCAAGCUUGAAGUGGGAGCCAAUUCCGGAUCUAAGACGGAAGAUUGAAGAAAUUCAGAGGAUAAGGUUAGGGAGGAUAUAGUUUUCAGGGGGGAAUCGAGAGGGAAGGAAUUUUUUUCAAGCUUUUGCAAGGUUACCAGUUCGGUUUCCAUUGGAGGUUUUUUUUUGGAAGAUCAAGGGAAUUAGAGAGAGGAGCUUCAUGCUUCGGGUCGGGCAAAGAAAGACAUAGAAUUUGGAUUUUUCUUCUUCAUAGAGUUUUGGGAAGACUAAGGCAAUCGCUGCUGAAGUCAGUGUUGUAAUGGUGAAUCGGGAUUUUUAAAUGAAGUGGGUUUGAAUACUCUUGACUGUUUUGUAAAAUCGAGUUACGUCUGUGAUUGAAGGAUUAAAGGGGUGUCUGUAGGAUUGAGUAUGCGGAGUAAAUGAAAUUUAUUGGGUUAAUCUAACAGGACAGUCAGUGGAUACAAGAUCGUAAGUACAAAGGGGUAUUGAAGAUUAACAGUUUGGGUUGUUCGGGGUUCUCUGUAACGUCUAGAGACCUACCGGCAGGGACAAAAAGGACUUCGAUAAGCAGUCAGAGGGCAUCCAGAUAGAUUUACGGUACAUUGUUGCAGUCGUUUAUAUUCCAGCAGUCAAAACUGAUAGACUGCUUGACUAUCGGUGAAUCUCCAUACUACCUUCUACAGCCAGACGCCCGGUGCGUUCUUGAGCAGGAAAGCACGUAAUACGACAAAAAGUGGUGAACCCGACGUGAAAGCUUGAGGUGGAAGGUAUUGGAUUUCGGUUGAUUUUAUCUUUAUUUUUAUGGAAAACGAAAAUAAAAAUUUUGAAGGAUUUUUGGGAGAAGUUUCUGGUGGGGAGUCUUCUAAAGGACAAGGUAUGCACAUGGAUCCAUCUAUCGCUAGUUUGUUUCAAGCCUUCUCAUUGUCAAUGCAGCAACAGCAAAGCAAUGAUCGAAAGGAAGCUUUGGCAACCAAAGCAUUGCAAGCAGUGGUCAAUAAAAUUGAUCAAUUUGAUGGGAGGAAUAUUUCAAGGUAUUUAAGAUGUUAUGUUCGUGAAAUGGAAUUAAAUCGGGUUUCUGAGAAGAAAAUGGUUGCACUAUUUGGACUUGCCACGAUACCGGAGAUAAGGGACCACAUUACAUCGAUUGCAGAUCGUUGUGGGAAUUCAUGGGAGGAUUUUUCACAUGCAUUGAAAGACGAAUAUUUCUUGAAAGAUGCUGAUCGCGUUACUAAGAAGCUGUUUCUGGGAUGGAUUGAACGGCCCAAUAAGAAUUUACAAGCAACAGAGCUACUAAGGGAAUUUGAGAGGCAGUACUCUCAAUUAUCGAAGGUAGAAAAAUUGACAUUGGAGCCGAACAAAGUUCAUCUAUUUCUUCAAGCUGCUGAUGGAAAAUUGCAAGAGAAAUUAGAACCCCUUCUUGAAGACAAAGAAGAAGAUGAAGGAUUGACAACGAAGUGGAAGAACGUUGAAGAUGCGGUGGGUUUGCUUACAAAAAAAGAAAGGAGGAAGGAUAGGAGCAAUAUUCCGAAAACAGUACAAGCACCCAAAGCUCCAGUACGUACAACACCACCGACAAUGCCUACAGUUCAAUCGUCGACAUCCUUGUCAAAGAAAGCAGAUAUGGGUAUAGAAGAAAUUAUACGAGGAAUGCAAGAUCUUCAAAUCAAAUUGGCAAGACUUGAAGAGAAUACUUCUAUAAACAAUUCGAAGAAUGUUUCAAAACAAGGAUAUGUACAAAGAUGCAUUUGGUGUGAUGAUGCUUCACACACUAGAAAAGAUUGCAAUGAAUUUAAUAAUAUGAUACGGCAGGGAAUUAUUUGCUGGAAAGAUGAGAAGAUAGCAUUGAAAGAUAGGGAGGAUCUUCUUCAAACCAAUUUUGGCAAAGGAGGAAUGAGAGCAUUGGUUCAAGAUUACUUAAAAGAGCAUGAAACAGUAGUACGAGAAAGUGCAAGUUAUGGUGCUAGAGUAGAUGAUGAAAUUGUUGGAAGUACGGAAACUAGUGAGUUUUGGGCUUCUGCCGUUUCUACAAUGCAAGAAGAGAAAUUACCUCGAGAAGCGUUAUUGAGAACUGCAGCUAUAAUACGAGGAAGAACAAGUUGGGAGGAUCCUGUUGAGUCUCUUUCAGUUCAUGCAUAUAUUGCUAAGAGCCAACAUGAAGCUUUGAUGGAAGAAAAAAGACGAGGAAAUUUUGAUGAUAUUAGAGAAGAAAAUUCUUUUAAGAGGUAAACUCGAGGAGACAAGGUUCGGGAGGCAGCUUCACAAGAAUUACCUGUAAAGGAUACCUCAGCAUCAUUGGGAGAAAAAACAACGGAGACAAAAGAUAAGGGCAAAUCAAUUGCUUAUAAGCUACUUUCUGACAUUGAAGCGGCAACAAAUUUGAAAGGGAUGUUGGAAGAACCUAUCUUAAACGCUAAGGUGGAAUUCACAUUGAAAGAAGUCUUGGGAAUUGCAAAGAAGGAGUUUCAUGAUGUUAUCAUUGACAACAUUAAGCGAAAGAGGCAAUUAAUGAGUAAAACUAGAAUGAGUCAUGCUAUUGAUGCAAAAAUAUGUAGAGAUGAAGAAGAGGUUGAUAUUGGUUACAAGCAACCAACAAAUGAAAAGAAUGGGUAUAAUCAGCGAGUACGUUUCGAAGAUUUUAGUGACAAGGAAAUGGAAACUUUGAGCCAUUAUACUCGAAACCAUUGGGCAAGGGCAACUACUGAGGUAUUAGUGAAGGUAGGAGAUAUAAAAGAACCAAUAGUUGCCUUGGUGGACCAUGGUUCUGAAAUAAAUCUCAUGUCUAAAGAUCUUUAUAAGAAGCAAAAAUGGCCAAUUGAUAUGCAACAUGGAUGGGCAAUACGAGCAGCUAAUAACACACGAGGCAAAUUAUAUGGAGCUUGUCCAGAUGUCAAAAUUUGGAUUGGGGAUGUUGCAACGGAGCAACAUUUCUUCGUUCAAGAUACAACGCCUUAUCCGUUGAUUUUAAGACAACCUUAUAUCACGGCAACACGGAUGGAAACAAAGGUACUUGACGAUGGUUCUGCUUAUGCAAAGGUACGGAGCGAAGAUGGGAGGAAAGCUGUACAAUUUCUAACAGUACCUCCUAACCAUGAACGGAAUCGAGAUAGGUUGAGGGAGAAACCAUUGCCAAAGAUUGUUGAAGGAUUUAAGGAUUUUGGGGAGGUACCACUGUAAAAACGAGAUUAUGGAGGUACAAAAGAGGAGGUGCUCUCGCGAGAUGAAGGUGCCUUUGAUGCGAGUUUUAUUGGUAUAUUGGAGAAUGGAAAUAUUAUGUAUAAGAAAGUUGAUGAUUUUAAAAGAAAAGAAAGAAAAAGAUUAUAUGAUAUUGAAGGACAGUUACGCAAGAUAGGUACAUUACAAGAUGAUGAGAGGAUUUUGGGUGUUUAUGAAGAAAAUGGACUGGAAGAUUCAUUGGAAUUGAUUAUAUCUAUUGGGUUAGGGGAUAAUGAUAAGAUUGUUGAGAUUCAUUCGAGAGAGGUUUAUACCAUGCUUGAAUCUUUUCAAGCACCAGAAGUUACAGUAGAGACGAGAUAUAAAACGGCAGAUAAGAAGGUAAAGCCUGUUGCCGGACCAUUACCAGAGGAUUCUAAAGAACAAAUGGGAGAAGCAUCAAAAGAAGCAAGUUUAAGAGAUCCAAUGACUAUUGGACAUCAGUUUACUAAAGAGACUUUUGAAGAAUUGAAGAUUGGUUCUGAUGGUUCUUUAUUGCCGGAGGAAAUUACUUGCUUCAAAAAGAUGUUGGCUAAACAAGGUAGAUCGUUUGCCUUUGAAGCUUAUAAAAUUAGGUGUGUAGAUCCAAAUAUUAUAACACCUAUGGUUAUCUUCACUGUAUCGCAUGUACCUUAGAAUCUAAGAUCGAUUCGAGUACGAAGGAUAUAUUAACCUAAAUUGGUGGAACUAUUGAAAGAAAAGAUAAAGAUGAAAAUAUUAGAACCUUCAUUUGCGCCGUAUUCUAGUCGAUGGUUUACGGUACCUAAGAAGAAUGGGUCACUAUGGUUUAUUCAAGAUAUGCAACCAGUGAAUGCAGUUAUUGUCAUGAAUGCAGGAAUUGGACCUAUUGUGGAUGAAUUUGCUGAGGCGUUUGCUGGAAGGGCGAUCUAUUCAAUGGUUGAUUUGUAUUCAGGUUAUGAUCAAUUUCAACUUGCCGAAGGAAGUAGAGAUAUGACAACGAUGAGAACACCGCUUGGAUUGGUUAGAAUGUGCACUCUUCCUCAAGGCGCGACCAACUCAGUUGCGCAUAUGAUGAAUGGGAUGAAUAAGGUAUUGAGAGAUUUUAUUCCGGAAAAGAUUAUGCCUUUUCUAAAUGAUGUUCCUAUAAAAGGGUGUAGAGAAGGAGACAAGGAUGAAACUUUAGAUACGAGGGGGUGUCGCAGAUAUGUUGUUGAUCAUAUACAAGAUUGUGAAAAGAUUUUAACUCGGCUUGGAGAAGUUCAUCUUACAUUAUCGGGUAUGAAGUCCGUAUUUGGAGUGCGAGAGGUUGUAAUUCUUGGACAUUUAUACGGAUCUUAUGGAAGAAAACCAGAUCCGACUAAAGUUGAUGCAAUUGGAAGGAUGAAAGAGGAUUGUGAUUCUUUAACAAAGGUUCGCAUGUUUUUGGGUGCAUGUGUAUUUUGUCGAAUCUGGAUCCCUCAUUUUGCUCACAUAGCAGAUCCAUUAUAUGAACUGUUACGCAAAGGUUACCGAUUUGAAUGAAAAGAAAGGCAUAAUCAGGCAAUGCAAAGAUUGAAGAAAUUAUUGAUGUUACCUCCAAUAUUGAGGAAGGUUGAUUAUAAGUGCAAUAGACCAGUGAUUCUUACUGUAGACGCUAGUACAAUUGCCAUUGGAUGGGCUGUGGGUCAAGAUGAUUCGAAUGGGAAUAGAUUUGUAAUUCGAUUUGGGGCUAAAGUUUUAAGUAUUCGUCAGCGUGCAUAUUCGCAAGUCAAAAGAGAACUUUGGGGAGUGGUUUCGGCUAUGAAAGCUGAAAAGGACUAUUUGAUUGGGGCAGUAGUAGUAAUUGAAACAGAUUGCUUGCCAUUGCUUGGAAUGAUUAUUAACUGUUCAACGCCAGAUAUUGCAAUGUUGAGAUGGAUUGCUUAUAUUAAGUCACUAAAUCUAGAAUUUAAGCAUAUCACUGAAAAGGACAAUUUAGUAGCAGACAUGCUAUCUUGAGCAAGAUACGAGAGGGAGGACGAAAUGGUUGAAGACAUUGAUGAUGUCGGAUUGAAAUUCUAUUCAAUAUCAAAUCUCAACAGAGAAGACAAGCUAUUUCUUGAAGAAUCUUAUGAAGGAGAAUUAUUGGAUAUUGGUCAUUAUUUGAAUACCUUGUCUAAGCAGGGGAAUUGGUCUACAGAAAAAUUCAAACAAAUAAGAAAAAAAGCAUAUGGAUUUUUACUUCGAGAUGGAUUCUUAUGGAAGAGACCGAAGAAAGGAAUUGAGAUGCCACAACGAGUGAUAGGCAAAAGGAAAGAAAAACUAAAAUUAUUAAAGGAGUUUCAUGAUAGUUUAUGGGAGGGCAUAGAGGAAUCUGGGCUACUUUUGCUAAACUCAAGGAACGAUAUUGGUGGAAAAAUAUGUAUCGAGAUGUGCUCUCAUUUGUAGAGUCAUGUGAAAUCUGUCAAUCGUAUUCUAAUAUCCGACAUCGAGAUGGUCUUCAUCCUACGUAUCCUCUGGCUAUUCAUUUUAAAUGGGUUGUUGAUUUGGUUAUUAUGCCGGUUGGGUUAUGGCAGAUGAGAUAUUUGAUUUUAGCUCGUGAAGAUUUAUCAAAUCAAGUAGAAGGAAGAGCAUUGAGGACAAAAUCUACAGAGGGGAUUUGUAGGUUUUUGCUUGAAGAUGUCAUUUGCCGUUACGGGUGCGUAGGAAAAAUCACUGCAGAUCGUGGAGAAUUAAAUGCACAAGAAGCUCGUAAGUUCUUUGAAAAAUGUGGAGUUAAACUAUCACUGAUUACUGCUUAUAAUCCGGAAGGGAAUGCGAAAAGCGAACGCGGUCACCCGCCGAUUGUGAAAGCAUUGGUUAAAGCUUGUAAUGGGAAGGUUAAAGAGUGGCCACGGCUUUUGUCAUUUGCAUUAUGGGCUGAUCGAACAACACAUAGUUUGGUGACAGGAUAUAUGCCAGUAGAACUUAUGACAGGUCAAAAAUCAAUUAUGCCGAUUGAAGAAAAGAUACUUACUUGGAGUAUGCUACCAUGGGAAGAUGGAUUGACAAGAGAAGAACUUCUGGCUAUUAGGAUUCCACAAUUGGAGCAAAGAACGGAAGAUGUCCAGAUAGCAUUGGAAAGGUUAAAAAGAACAAGGUUACAAAACAAGGCGCGAUUCGAUAAGCAACAUCGAUUGAGACCAAAAGUAAUCGAGGAAGGUGACUGAGUACUUGUUUAUGACAAUAGUCUAGAUAAUCAACAUAGUACUUUGCGGAAAUUUUCAAAACGUUGGUUUGGACCAUAUGUUGUAACAACUGUUCAUGAUAAUGCGACUUACUCAUUACGGGAGUUAGAUGGUAUAAAAUUGAAAAUACCAAUUGCAGGGAAGCGAGUAAAAAUAUUUAAACGAAGACACGCAGAGAUGAAUAUGGAAGACCUUAAUGAAGGUACAGAGAUUCUGUAGCAAGAAGAUAAAAGUGAUAUGGAUAAUGAAGGUGACGAAGACGAACUGGACAAAGACGUAGGGGAUAUAUUCUGAAUCAAACAGCAAUUGGGUAAAUUGGUGCAUACCGGAGGAUGCACAGGUUCAGAGGGGGUGGAUGUUGUAUUGUAACACGAGUAUACUGUGAAAAUAAAAAGAAAGGGGAAUUUUAUUUAUAUUCAGUUAUCUCGAAUAUUGGGAGCAUCGACCAACUCCAGUACAAAUACUGAGUGGUCAGGUUCACUCACUCCGUUACAGUCAGCCGGGGCAUACUGAAAUGCUCCGUUCGAUUCCAAUAACCGGAGUCGGCAGGAAGAGAAGGACCAAUUCACACGACGGGUUCGAAGAGCCAAUUGGAUCCAAUUUUGAGAAUCCAAUCUGGAUCCUCUUAUUCAAUAUGAGACCUGAAUUGGCCGGUCAACCCAAUGCAGUCCAAUUACGAGAACAUCCAGGUUACUACGGGCAUCUUUCCCAAUAUAGGACCUGAAUUGGUCGGGCGACUCAAUGUGGUCUAAUUACGGGAAAUCCAGGUCUUACUACGGGUCUUAGCCAUUCUGACGCGAGGACCAAUUUGACCCAAUUACGGGAACAUCUAGGUUACUACGGGCAUCUUUCCCGAUAUAGGACCUGAAUUGGUCGGAUGACUCAAUGUGGUCCCGAUUACGGGAUUCGAUUCUGUUUCAGGCUGUCCUGUUCUCUGUGCCGUUUCAGGGAACGUUGUUUUCAGUAAAUGGAUUUCUUAAAGGUAAAAAUGGAGGAGAAAGCUUGACGGCGAGAGCCAAUAUGGAUCCAAGCUUGAGGUGGGAGCCAAUUCCAGAUCUAAGACGGAAGAUUGAAGAAAUUCAGAGGAUAAGGUUAGGGGGGAUAUAGUUUUGAGGGGGGAAUCGAGGGGGGAGGAGUUUUUUUCAAGCUUUUGCAAGGUUACCAGUUUGGUUUUCAUUGGAGGUUUUUUUGAAGAUCAAGGAAAAUAGAGAGAGAAGCUUCAUGCUUCGGGUCGGGGAAGGAAAGACAUNNNNNNNNNNNNNNNNNNNNNNNNNNNNNNNNNNNNNNNNNNNNNNNNNNNNNNNNNNNNNNNNNNNNNNNNNNNNNNNNNNNNNNNNNNNNNNNNNNNNNNNNNNNNNNNNNNNNNNNNNNNNNNNNNNNNNNNNNNNNNNNNNNNNNNNNNNNNNNNNNNNNNNNNNNNNNNNNNNNNNNNNNNNNNNNNNNNNNNNNNNNNNNNNNNNNNNNNNNNNNNNNNNNNNNNNNNNNNNNNNNNNNNNNNNNNNNNNNNNNNNNNNNNNNNNNNNNNNNNNNNNNNNNNNNNNNNNNNNNNNNNNNNNNNNNNNNNNNNNNNNNNNNNNNNNNNNNNNNNNNNNNNNNNNNNNNNNNNNNNNNNNNNNNNNNNNNNNNNNNNNNNNNNNNNNNNNNNNNNNNNNNNNNNNNNNNNNNNNNNNNNNNNNNNNNNNNNNNNNNNNNNNNNNNNNNNNNNNNNNNNNNNNNNNNNNNNNNNNNNNNNNNNNNNNNNNNNNNNNNNNNNNNNNNNNNNNNNNNNNNNNNNNNNNNNNNNNNNNNNNNNNNNNNNNNNNNNNNNNNNNNNNNNNNNNNNNNNNNNNNNNNNNNNNNNNNNNNNNNNNNNNNNNNNNNNNNNNNNNNNNNNNNNNNNNNNNNNNNNNNNNNNNNNNNNNNNNNNNNNNNNNNNNNNNNNNNNNNNNNNNNNNNNNNNNNNNNNNNNNNNNNNNNNNNNNNNNNNNNNNNNNNNNNNNNNNNNNNNNNNNNNNNNNNNNNNNNNNNNNNNNNNNNNNNNNNNNNNNNNNNNNNNNNNNNNNNNNNNNNNNNNNNNNNNNNNNNNNNNNNNNNNNNNNNNNNNNNNNNNNNNNNNNNNNNNNNNNNNNNNNNNNNNNNNNNNNNNNNNNNNNNNNNNNNNNNNNNNNNNNNNNNNNNNNNNNNNNNNNNNNNNNNNNNNNNNNNNNNNNNNNNNNNNNNNNNNNNNNNNNNNNNNNNNNNNNNNNNNNNNNNNNNNNNNNNNNNNNNNNNNNNNNNNNNNNNNNNNNNNNNNNNNNNNNNNNNNNNNNNNNNNNNNNNNNNNNNNNNNNNNNNNNNNNNNNNNNNNNNNNNNNNNNNNNNNNNNNNNNNNNNNNNNNNNNNNNNNNNNNNNNNNNNNNNNNNNNNNNNNNNNNNNNNNNNNNNNNNNNNNNNNNNNNNNNNNNNNNNNNNNNNNNNNNNNNNNNNNNNNNNNNNNNNNNNNNNNNNNNNNNNNNNNNNNNNNNNNNNNNNNNNNNNNNNNNNNNNNNNNNNNNNNNNNNNNNNNNNNNNNNNNNNNNNNNNNNNNNNNNNNNNNNNNGUCAGCCGGGGCAUACUGAAAUGCUCCGUUCGAUUCCAAUAACCGGAGUCGGCAGGAAGAGAAGGACCAAUUCACACGACGGGUUCGAAGAGCCAAUUGGAUCCAAUUUUGAGAAUCCAAUCUGGAUCCUCUUAUUCAAUAUGAGACCUGAAUUGGCCGGUCAACCCAAUGCAGUCCAAUUACGAGAACAUCCAGGUUACUACGGGCAUCUUUCCCAAUAUAGGACCUGAAUUGGUCGGGCGACUCAAUGUGGUCUAAUUACGGGAAAUCCAGGUCUUACUACGGGUCUUAGCCAUUCUGACGCGAGGACCAAUUUGACCCAAUUACGGGAACAUCUAGGUUACUACGGGCAUCUUUCCCGAUAUAGGACCUGAAUUGGUCGGAUGACUCAAUGUGGUCCCGAUUACGGGAUUCGAUUCUGUUUCAGGCUGUCCUGUUCUCUGUGCCGUUUCAGGGAACGUUGUUUUCAGUAAAUGGAUUUCUUAAAGGUAAAAAUGGAGGAGAAAGCUUGACGGCGAGAGCCAAUAUGGAUCCAAGCUUGAGGUGGGAGCCAAUUCCAGAUCUAAGACGGAAGAUUGAAGAAAUUCAGAGGAUAAGGUUAGGGGGGAUAUAGUUUUGAGGGGGGAAUCGAGGGGGGAGGAGUUUUUUUCAAGCUUUUGCAAGGUUACCAGUUUGGUUUUCAUUGGAGGUUUUUUUGAAGAUCAAGGAAAAUAGAGAGAGAAGCUUCAUGCUUCGGGUCGGGCAAGGAAAGACAUAGAAUUUGGAUUUUUCUUCUUCAUAGAGUUUUGGGAAGACUAAGGCAAUCGCUGCUGAAGUCAGUGUUGUAAUGGUGAAUCGGGAUUUUUAAAUGAAGUGGGUUUGAAUACUCUUGACUGUUUUAUAAAAUCGAGUUAUGUCUGUGAUUGAAGGAUUAAAGGGGUGUCUAUAUGAUUGAGUAUGCGGAGUGAAUGAAAUUUAUUGGGUUCAUCUAACAGGACAGUCAGUGGAUACAAGAUCGUAAGUACAAAGGGGUAUUGAAGAUUAACAGUUUGGGUUGUUCGGGGUUCUCUGUAACGAGGAUUCAUCAAUCAGGUCCAACUAGUGAUUGAACUUCAACCCCAGAGCUAUCCAACUCCAGGGUCACAAGUAAGAUUCAUUGGUACACUUCUUUCAGGUUUAGCAUUGUCAUGGUUUUCAUCUUUUCUUGAACGACGAGAUCCAAUAUUGGAUAAUCUGGAGGCUUUUUUGGCGGAGUUUCGAUCCAUGUUUGGAGAACAUGAUGCAAUUCGUGUUGCAACCAACAAGAUCCGUAUUUUGCGACAAGGCAAUCGAUCAGUAACAUUAUAUGCUUCGCAAUUUCGACAACUUGCAACUGAUAUCAAGUGGGAUGAUGCCGCACUUGUGAGUCAAUUUCUCUACGGAUUACAAUAUGAGGUAAAGAAAUUGAUGCUUAAUUUACCUGAUCCUCAAACAUUGAGUCAAGCAAUUGACUUUGCUGUGAAGUGCGACAAUCGACUUUUUGAAUUUCGAUCCGAGAGUCGCACAAGUGGGCCUCAACGUUACUACAAUUCAAUGGCAACACCGACGUCUCCUCAACACAUACCUUCGGAAGUAGAGGAUAUGCAAAUUGAUGCGGUACGUUUCAAACCUCUUACUGAGCAAGAAAAGUCUCGUCGUCGACAAGAAGGAUUGUGCUUAUAUUGUGGAGAACCUAAGCACACUGCUCAACAUUGUCCAAAGAAGCGACGUAACUACAAAAUGAGGAGUACGGCUGUCAAAGAAGACAGUAUGUCAGAAAACGAGUACGUCCAGCUACAAUAGGGACCGUGCGACUGGAAUCUUGUACAACUUCUAAUAAAGGUCCUAUCCUCUCCUCAAAACCAUCUCCUUGUUUUAUAAUAGAUGUGCGUUUAGGACCUAAUAAUUACAAAGCCUCUGCCUUGGUAGAUUCAGGAGCCUCAUCUUGUUUUUUAGAUGAAGAAUUUGCUAGAUGUCAUAGAAUAUCAUUAAUACAAAAAACUAAACCUGUACACGUAGAAGUCAUAGAUGGUCGUCCGUUGUCUUCUGGAGAUGUAACUCACGAAACACUUCCUGUAGAUGUAGUAAUAAAUGGUCAUAGUAGUUGCGUAAUUUUUAAUAUAAUUAGAUCUCCCUCUAAUCCAGUAAUUUUAGGCUUAUCAUGGUUAGAAAAGUAUAAUCCUCGAAUAGAUUGGAUUUCUCGUAAACUUGAUUUUCCUCAGAGCAUUAGUAACAGUUCUAUUAACCAAGUAAAAAACCAUGAGUCUAGUAUAGUAAAACUCACACCUAUAGGUGCAAAAGCAUUUAUACACGCAGCAAAAGAAGGAUCAACUUUUGCUAUUUAUGCUGCACCUAUUUCUGAAAGCGUAAAGACUUCAAGUGGCAUUCCAAGUCAAUAUCAGGAUUAUCAAGACGUUUUUGAGAAAAAGAAUGCAGAUAUUCUUCCUGAGCAUCGCCCAUACGAUUAUUCAAUCGAUCUCAAGGAAGGAACUCAGCCACCAUUUGGACCAAUUUACAGUUUAUCGCAAGAUGAGUUGGCUGAACUCAAGACAUAUAUUGACGAGAAUUUAGCGAAGAAUUUCAUACGCCAUUCAAAAUCUCCAGCAGGAGCUCCAAUUUUAUUCGUAAAGAAAAAGGAUGGAUCUUUACGAAUGUGUGUUGACUAUCGAGGACUCAACAAGAUCACAAUCAAGAACAGGUAUCCAUUACCUUUGAUAUCAGGACUCCUUGACCAGUUAAAUCAAGCUAAGAUCUAUACAAAAAUAGAUCUAAGAGGAGCAUAUAAUCUAGUACGGAUCAAAGAAGGAGAUGAAUGGAAAACUGCGUUUCGAACCAGGUACGGGCAUUUUGAAUAUAAUGUCAUGCCUUUUGGACUCACAAAUGCACCAGCUGCUUUUCAACAUCUCAUGAAUGAUGUAUUUCGUGAAUUCUUAGACAAUUUUGUCGUCUGCUACCUAGACGAUAUCCUGAUUUAUUCUAAGAAUGUUGAAGAACAUGAAAUACAUGUUCGUCAAGUAUUACAAAAACUCAGAGAUGCAGGAUUGUACGCCAAGAUGGAAAAGUGUGUAUUUCACACUACUCAAGUUGACUUUUUAGGAUACAUCAUUUCAAAUGAUGGUCUUAUGAUGGAUUCUAAGAAAGUCCAAACAAUCAUGGAUUGGAAGAUUCCAAAGACUGUGAGAGAUGUCCAAUGUUUCUUGGGAUUUGCCAAUUACUAUCAGAUCUUCAUCAAAGACUUCUCACGAGUUGCAGCUCCACUUACACGCUUGACUAGUAAAGAUAAAUUCCAAUGGAAUCAAGAAGCGGAAGUAGCAUUUGAAGCCUUGAAGACAUCGUUUGUCUCUACACCAGUCUUAUAUCGUGUUGACUUUUCCAAGGCAUUUUUUAUGGAAACAGACGCAUCGGAUUUUGCCUUGGAUGCAGUUUUAUCACAAAUGGGAACAGAUGACAAACUUCAUCCGAUAGCUUUUCAUUCAAGAAAAUUCUCAGCAGCCGAGAUCAAUUAUGAGAUCCACGAUAAAGAACUUCUUGCAAUCGUGGAUUCCUUUCAAGAAUGGCGUCAUUAUCUAGAAGGUGCUUCUAGUCCAGUCACUGUGUAUACAGAUCACAAGAACCUCGAGUAUUUCAUGUCAGCACGCGUGUUGAAUCGUCGUCAAGCUCGUUGGAGUAUGUCUUUGUCAAGAUUCGACUUCAUUAUCACUUAUCGGCCAGGAAAACAACAAGGUUUGUCCGAUGCCUUGUCUAGACGUUCUUAUUUUGUACCAAAAGAAGGAGAUGCAGCUUUUGAGAAAUAAAGAACGGUCCUCUUGAAACCGGAGCAAUUUCAUCUCCGAGCAGUGAAAUCAACAUUGACUGUUGAUUCAACUUUUCUCAAGCAAAUCCAGUCCAGUAUGUCCUCAGACCCUCUUGUUCAUGAUAUCGAGAAUAAUUCUUCCAAGUCUCAUGAUUCUUCUAAGUUCGAGUUCAAGAAUAAUCUAUUAUAUUUUGAAGGACGCCUAUAUGUUCCAGAAGAAAAAGCACGUUUGCGUGUUCUUCAAGCACGUCAUGACUUUCCAGCAGCAGGGCACUUUGGAUAUAAUAAGACUCUGGAACUCAUAUCAAGAGAUUUUUGGUGGCCACAAAUGUGGAAGUCAGUCAAAGACUUUGUACAAUCAUGUGAUAUUUGUUCAAGAUCAAAAAUUCCUCGUCAUCGACCUUACGGACUUCUUCAGCCAUUACCUAUACCAGAACAACCAUGGUCUUCUGUUUCUAUGGAUUUCAUCACAGAUCUUCCAAGCUCAAGAUCUUAUGAUUCUAUAUUUGUGAUAGUAGAUCGUUUCACCAAGAUGGCACAUUUUGUGCCAUGUACAAAAUCUAUCACAGGUGAAGAAACAGCUAAGCUUUUCAUUGAUAAUAUCUAUCGCUAUCAUGGAUUACCUAAAGAUAUCAUAUCGGAUAGGGGAACUCAAUUUGUGUCAAGAUUUUGGAGGACCCUUUUCAAGAUUUUAAAAGUGGACAUAAAACUAUCUUCGGCUUUUCAUCCUCAAACUAAUGGACAAACAGAGCGCGUAAACCAAGUCUUGGAGCAAUAUUUAAGGUGUACUAUCAACUACCAACAAGAUGAUUGGACAACCCUUCUGCCAUUGGCAGAGUUUGCUUAUAAUAAUACGGUACAUUCUUCCACGCAACAAACACCUUUCUUUGCCAAUUAUGGCUAUCAUCCACGACUUGAUACUUUUGAUUUUUCAAAAGUUGAUAAUCCUGCAGCAGAAGAUAUGGCAAAUCGAUUGUCAGAGUUACAUGCAAUAUUGAAGACACAAUUGAAGGAAGCUCAAGAACGACAAAGAUAAACGCAGAUCUAUAUCGUAAGGAGUAACCACAGAUCAACGUCGGUGAUAAGGUAUGGCUACUUCGUCGCAAUAUCAAGACUACUCGACCUUGUGACAAGUUGGACUAUCGUAGGCUUGGCCCCUUUUCUGUUUCUGAACAGAUCAAUCCAGUUGCAUAUCGGUUACAUCUACCGGAGUCAAUGAAGAUCCAUCCUGUAUUCCACGUGUCUCUUCUUGAACCAUAUAAGACAGUGGAUAUACAAGGAAGAAGACAAAUGCCACCGCCUCCUAUAGAAGUAGAUAAUAAUGAAGAAUUUGAGGUGGAAGAGAUAUUAGACUCAAGGCGGCGCCGAAAUAAGCUGGAAUAUCUUGUUCAUUGGUGCGGAUAUGAUAUUAGUGAGCGCACAUGGGAGCCAUCCAGGAAUCUAGCAAAUGCAUCAGCUAAAGUCAAAGUUUUUCAUCAACGACAUCCAUCAAAACCAAGAUGAAAACCUCUCUUAUAAAAGAGACAAGAUUGAGGCAAGAUAACAUUCAAUUUCGUAUCCUUAUUUGUAACUUCUUUGCAUUUUGUGAUGCUAAUUAGAUGGAGAGCCAACAACCAGCGGAUUCAACUCAAGAACCUUCGUUUGCUGACUUACCGGAUGAGACAUUGCGAUUGUCACAACCUUCAAGACGACGCAACCGAAAUGAAGACCCUCAAGAACGACAUGUUCUUCCUCGAAUAGAUGGUGAGAUACAACGCGUUUGGUAUCACGACCUUGGAAGAGAUUCUCGAUGUUUGGUGAUAUUAUUGGAGAUAGGAAUGACUCCUGAUGGUGUUUCAAAUGUAUUAUUUGAAGGAAGUUAUGAAGGCCUCAACAGUGAUCAAAUAACAGGGUGGUCUUCUCGCCCUGGAAUGGGACACUAUCGAUGGCUAAGAGGACCCAUCAACUAUCUUCGAAGAGAACAAAGAUCAGAGUAUGUAGCAAAUACAAUUCGCCGCAUAUUAGAUUUUCUCAAUAUAUAAUCACCGCUCUUCGUGGAACUCGUCCCUAGAAGGGGGGGUAAUGUCACGGACAUACAUAUAAUUACCUAUAUGAAUAGAUAAAAGUAUGUAAAAGUAGGUUAAUUAUGUAAUAUCUUCUAGAAAAGCUUCUUAGAAGCUUCAUAGAUGCUGCUUUGACUUUAUAGGAGUCUAUAGUUGACUUUUAGGUUAGAAACUUGGUCAAUAAGUUAGCCAUGUGCCACGCAUGUUGGAAGCUUAAAGAACAAGCUAACUACGUGGUCCAUCCAUAGAAAACUUGCCUUGCAAGCAAAGGCAUGUGGCCUAGAAAGUCAACAUAUAUUGGAGGUCUUAUAGAACACCGCCACGUGGCUUCUAGUUAGAUAGUAUAUAUAGAGGCAAGAGUGAAGCCCUCUUCACUCUUGUCAACUCCUUUCUUGCUUCUAGUCUAGUUUCAAGGGUCUCUAGUUUUCUUGUAUUUUGGCAAUAGCCAUUCCAGUUUCUUUCUUAAUAUACAUAUUUCUAUUUUGUCCUAUUUCUUUUUGAGAAAAGUUUCACUUACUCUUUAGCUUUCAUCGAGUUCUUGUCCCUGACACAUCUAAACGUCCUCACUGACUUUCUCUCAUUACCUACCAAUCCAUUUUAUUUUUUAUUUUUUUUUUAAAUUUUUUAAAUUUUUAAAUUGAUAAUUAAUAAUCUAGCCUACUCUCAGGUGGGUAGGGAACGCAAACCACCAAGAUAGUAUUUACGGGCGAUGACAUGGAAUUCACCAAGGCAAACCAGCCCGCUAGUCUAAUCUUGGCAUACGGUAUAACCUAUGUGGUGGGGCUUACCCGGUCAGUAAACGAGACACUGUGAUUCUGCCUUCACGGCCAGAACCCCCCUCGUUCUCAAUUUAGCUCACUGCCGAGGCAUUACCCACUAACAAGGCAAUGACAAUGACGAAUUACAAUCCUAAGUUAACAUAGAUCAUUCAAUGUAUGAUGGCUUACCUCAUGUAAUUCCAGCUUCCUGCACAAAUUGUAUACCACCGGCCUCUCGAUCACAUGCUAAGGUUUCUAGCACAAACUACCAAAGAUAUCCCUAAGAUCCACAUACCUUCUGCUGUGCUCCUUCCAAUCACGACCCCAUCAUCUUGCUCCUAUUAUCUCCUUCCUCCAUGUAAUCAAUCAUCUCAACUCAAAAAAAAAAAAAAAAAAAAAAAUUGUUAGACAACAUCUCUAAGAUCGGCUCCCGGAAAACGCACCAUUUAUGUGAGCUAAAUUCCUCCACCCUUAAUUGCGUUUAGUAGUCAAGUAGAUUAACUUCACUCACACGCGAAUUUUAUAAACCCUAAGUUCAUUCAUAAACCCUAAGUUCAUCCAUAAAUCCUAAGUUCAUCCAAAAACCCUGAGUUCAUCCAGAAACCCUAAAUUCAUCCAUAAACCCUAAGUUCAUCCAUAAACCCUAAGUUCAUUCAUCCUAAAUUUCCCUUCAUCAAUCAUCCAUCCCUUAAAUCUCAUUCAUCUUAUAACAUUCAUUCAUUCAAAGUUUGUUCAUCCAAUUUUUAUCUAAAGAUUCAUUCAUCCAACCAUAAGUCAACUUAUCAUCCAACUGACAAUUCGUGCAAUUGACCUAAUUCAUCCAAGAUUCAUCCUAAAAAUUAAAGAAAAUCGGAAGUCGCCACCUUCCAAGUCAUGGUAGCAACCCCUUUGCACGAAUUCCACUACAAUGGUUGCAUCACUAACUUGUUUAUAACAAGCUUUACUAUUUUAGAAAGUAGACUUACAAGCGCUUGUCUUCCAACAAAAUUCAAUGCAAAACAACAAUUAAGCUAAGAGAAAUCUUGCCUCAAAGUUGCCUGACUUUCUCGGCCUAGUCAGAGCACCCCUGGCCACAAAAACCCUUGCCCUUGCUCCAUUCCAGUUGUGCAACGCAUAUGCUUUAGCAUUCCAGAAACUAGAAUUGAAGUUGCAUCACCUCCAACAAUUUUUUCUUGAAAAUCUUGAGUGAAUUCCAAGAUAUGACCUUCCAAAGUAGCUUGAGUUGGCGGAGUGCUACAUCUUCACCAUGGCCGACUCCUCUUCACUCCAACCACCAUAACUUCCUUGGCCUUUACUCAAUCUAAGCGUGCAAAUAGUCCUUGCAAAGCUGACAACAAGAACCAUCCCCCACAAAAGUUUCAGCUCCAAAUUCAAUACUGUCCGCCAACACUCGCCUUCCAAAGUCGGACCUCCAGAUCUGGCCGGCAGCUGACCUCCUUGUCACUAAAACCACCACAACUUUCUUGUUUUCUCUCCAAACAAAGCGUGCCUACUGUCCCAAGGAAGCUAACGACAAGAUCUAACUAUUGGUAAAGUUUGACAUUCUAUUUCCAGAUAACUAAUACACUACAGCUGCGCAAUUGCAGCUCUAUAGAAACAAGGGUACGUGGGGAUGCAAUUUGGCAUGGCUUCGCCCCAAAAAAAAAAAAAAAAAGAGAGAGAGAGAGAGAG